CUCCGUAUAGCUCAACUUGGUUAGAGCGCUUGUCUGGGGGGCAAGAGGCUGCAGGUUCAAAUCCUGCUAUGGAGACCA
RNAcentral lists this transfer RNA (78 nucleotides) under Shigella flexneri. RNAcentral describes it as "tRNA-Pro". It matches the Rfam family "tRNA". From Rfam's summary of the family: Transfer RNA (tRNA) molecules are approximately 80 nucleotides in length. Their secondary structure includes four short double-helical elements and three loops (D, anti-codon, and T loops). Lineage: Bacteria; Pseudomonadati; Pseudomonadota; Gammaproteobacteria; Enterobacterales; Enterobacteriaceae. The record is from RNAcentral. RNAcentral also lists the same sequence under 1 other name.